This 867-nucleotide ribosomal RNA is filed under the name uncultured bacterium. RNAcentral describes it as "bacterial SSU rRNA". It matches the Rfam family "Bacterial small subunit ribosomal RNA", at positions 60 to 949 of the family's 1533-position model. The record is from RNAcentral.
AGUCGACGAUUAAGCACCUUCGGGUGUGUAUAGAGUGGCGAACGGGUGAGUAGCACGUGACCAACCUGCCUCUUACAUUGGGACAACCAAAAGAAAUUCUGGCUAAUACCAAAUACUCCGCACAUAUCACAUGAUGUAUGCGGGAAAGCUUUUGCGGUAAGAGAUGGGGUCGCGGCCCAUUAGGUAGACGGCGGGGUAGAAGCCCACCGUGCCGAUGAUGGGUAGCCGGGUUGAGAGACCGACCGGCUACAUUGGGACUGAGAUACGGCCCAGACUCCUACGGGAGGCAGCAGUGGGGAAUAUUGCGCAAUGGGGGAAACCCUGACGCAGCAACGCCGCGUGCGGGAUGAAGGCCUUCGGGUUGUAAACCGCUUUCAGCAGGGAAGACAUCGACGGUACCUGCAGAAGAAGCCCCGGCUAACUACGUGCCAGCAGCCGCGGUAAUACGUAGGGGGCGAGCGUUAUCCGGAUUCAUUGGGCGUAAAGCGCGCGCAGGCGGUUGCUCAAGCAGAACCUCUAAUCUCGGGGCUUAACCUCGAGCCGGGUUCCGAACUGGACGACUCGAGUGCGGUAGAGGCAGAUGGAAUUCCCGGUGUAGCGGUGGAAUGCGCAGAUAUCGGGAAGAACACCAACGGCGAAGGCAGUCUGCUGGGCCGUCACUGACGCUGAGGCGCGAAAGCUGGGGGAGCGAACAGGAUUAGAUACCCUGGUAGUCCCAGCCGUAAACGAUGAGCGCUGGGUGUGGGAGAUUACAUCUUCCGUGCCGAAGCUAACGCAUUAAGCGCUCCGCCUGGGGAGUACGGCCGCAAGGCUAAAACUCAAAGGAAUUGACGGGGGCCCGCACAAGCAGCGGAGCAUGUGGCUUAA